Molecule: small RNA, 82 nt
Filed under: Candidatus Protochlamydia amoebophila
Lineage: Bacteria; Pseudomonadati; Chlamydiota; Chlamydiia; Parachlamydiales; Parachlamydiaceae
Description: ctRNA
Source: RNAcentral
UCUGAAAUUUUUGUUUUUGAUAAAUUUCUGAAUCAUGAAGCAGAAAUGGAAGCAUUAAAUUGCUUCAUGUUCUUUUAUACCA